RNAcentral lists this ribosomal RNA (217 nucleotides) under uncultured soil bacterium. RNAcentral describes it as "partial small subunit ribosomal RNA". It matches the Rfam family "Bacterial small subunit ribosomal RNA", at positions 1320 to 1533 of the family's 1533-position model. The record is from RNAcentral.
UUGAAGGUGGAAUCGCUAGUAAUCGGGGAUCAGCUGGCCCCGGUGAAUACGUUCCCGGGCCUUGUACACACCGCCCGUCACACCACGAAAGUUGGUUGCAACCAAAGUCGGUGACUCAACCCGCAAGGGAGAUAGCCGCCAAAGUUGUGACCAGUAAUUGGGGUGAAGUCGUAACAAGGUAACCAAGGGCGAAUCGCAGUAAAUUAAUAAUAGUCGU